UGCAAGUCGAACGCGAAAGUCCCCUUCGGGGGGCAAGUAGAGUGGCGCACGGGUGAGUAACACGUAGGUAAUCUACCUUUGGAUUGGGAAUAACCACCGGAAACGGUGGCUAAUACCGAAUAAUGCAGCGGCACCUAAUGGUGACAGUUGUUAAAGCGGGGGAUCGAAAGACCUCGCGUCUGAAGAGGAGCCUGCGGCAGAUUAGCUAGUUGGUAAGGUAACGGCUUACCAAGGCGAUGAUCUGUAGCCGGCCUGAGAGGGCGGUCGGCCACACUGACACUGACAUACGGGUCAGACUCCUACGGGAGGCAGCAGUCGGGAAUUUUGGGCAAUGGGCGAAAGCCUGACCCAGCAACACCGCGUGAAGGAUGAAAUCCCUCGGGAUGUAAACUUCGCAAGAACGGGAAGAAUAAGUAAGGGUUAAUAUCUCUUACGAUGACGGUACUGUUUGUAAGCUCCGGCUAACUCCGUGCCAGCAGCCGCGGUAAUACGGGGGGAGCAAGCGUUGUUCGGAUUUACUGGGCGUAAAGGGCGCGUAGGCGGCCACCGCAAGUCGACUGUGAAAUCUCCGGGCUUAACCCGGAAAGGUCAGCUGAUACUGCGGGGCUAGAGUGCAGAAGGGGCAACUGGAAUUCUCGGUGUAGCGGUGAAAUGCGUAGAUAUCGAGAGGAACACCUGCGGCGAAGGCGGGUUGCUGGGCUGACACUGACGCUGAGGCGCGAAAGCUAGGGGAGCGAACGGGAUUAGAUACCCCGGUAGUCCUAGCCUUAAACGAUGAAUGCUUGGUGUCUGGGGUUUUAUAGUCCCCGGGUGCCGUCGCUAACGCUUUAAGCAUUCCGCCUGGGGAGUACGGUCGCAAGACUGA
RNAcentral lists this ribosomal RNA (865 nucleotides) under uncultured Acidobacteriota bacterium. Its description in RNAcentral is "bacterial SSU rRNA". It matches the Rfam family "Bacterial small subunit ribosomal RNA", at positions 56 to 897 of the family's 1533-position model. The record is from RNAcentral. Lineage: Bacteria; Pseudomonadati; Acidobacteriota.